CGAUAGAAAAUCUCGUUGAGUAACAGUGGCUGCAAAAGGUAUUCGCACACCGUUCUAUCUGCCACAGCAAGAACAUAUCAAGUUUCGUAUCAUUCAGUAGUACGUACGUUUGUACGACUAGGAAAAUUUACAACUGUAGAACUGUAGAAACCUACAGACCUUGAUAAAAUGGCACUGAAUUGGAAAUUAAGGGUAUGUGGAAACUUGCCUUCUAGCAACUGGUAUGUCGGGUAUGUCGGGAUUUGAACGAAAGUAUUCGAACGUUCAGCCAAUUUAUCUUACGAAUGCAUUAUGCGUGUUGUACGAAACUGUAUAUGGUAAGAGGAAUUGCAAAAAAUAGUAAAUCGUAGGCCGAUAAAGUUUCGCUCUUACGUUAAACUUGAUAUUAUUAUUUCAUAAAUUCAGAAUAAUUCGCAUGACAAAUUAAUCACGAUGAAAUUGUCUUUCGUUACGUUAUGAUAUCUUCGAAGACUUUAAUUCUGUCGUUUUACGAAUGAAGCGCUUUACGACCAGGCAAAAUGCAGUCACAAUGGUAUUUGAAUAUUAUCAGCAUAUUAUCUACGAAACAUAUCAUAUACGAAACCCUUUAAAAUUGUAUCAGUAGCGUAAUGGGACACGAUUAUCACGGUUGUACGGGUGAAAUGUAAAACCAACUGGAACACGUACGUAGAAAAUACAAAACAACUUGUUAAUACAUAUCUGAUAGAAAAGAAAAUAGUACAGAUAGCGUAAGUAGUCGCCCCAAACGCGCAAUAGGCUUGACAAUACGAUCAACUCUAGCAAAUACCACAAAGUACAUGCUUUUAUGCGCAAAGUAUACGAAUUUCAUGAUGUUUCGUGCAAAAUACACGGUAUAUUCGUGAGAAAUUGAAGCAAGAUGAAACAAGAUGAAGCGACAUGAAUCGAGAUGAAGUAAGAUGAAACAAGAUGAAACAAGAUGGAACGAGAUGAAACAAGAUGAAACAAGAUGGAGCGAGAUGAAACAAGACGGAAAGAGAUAAAAUAAAACAGAGGUCGUGAAAUUAUACACAUACCUCUCCUAAAAUAAGAAACGACAAGUUAGUUAGCUGAAAUUUCAUGAAGUAUCCGAGUAUUAAUACGAUUUACUAUAUAUUAAAAGGUCGGUGCAGAUGUUCGUUUAUAAAACGAUCAGUCGUUUCACGUUUCUCGUUUUAUGGCGAUACACUGCGGGAUUUUGCAUGAUUUAUCUGGCAAUUCUUGGAGUGCAGACUCGUCAAUUAUGUAAGGGAUGGGAAGAGAACAGAGAGACGAGGCAAAGAUGAAACGAACGGAGAUAGAAAUGCCGUAGCUGCUAACGGAACCUUGAACGAGAACUUACAACGAAGGAACUGUUGGUAUAAUGAGCGUAUCCGCGUUGACCUUGAUAUAUCGGUCUGUGGAAGGAUUUCGACGAAUCGUGAUGACGCGUCGAUCGAUGGAUCGUUAGAUCAAAAAUGCAAAACAAUGUAAAUUACGUGGUUCGAUAAAUCUGUUUUCUGUGCGUUUAAGUACGUACAACAGUGGCAUAUAUAUUUUGUUUAACAAGCGACGAAUCGAACAGUAAAUUAUUUUGGAUCUCGAUGUCAACGAAGGAUCUGAACGAGAUAUAUUUCUACGCUUUUCAAGGAGCGUGCAAUGUAUGAUUAUUCAUCUGGCAGGGAAGUUACAAAAUAUUGUUAUUAGCAAACGUUACUUUUACGUUACAUUACAAUUAUUAUUAGCAAAAUAAUCAUUGCAGAUAGUAACAGAUAAGUUCUUCGUAGAUUGGCAUCAAGCACGUUUGAAAAGUUAUGUUUUCAUCGUCGCGACACAGCAAGGAACAACAUCGUUAUAUUCGCCGUAGGAAGUGACGCUUCGGAAGCUACAGAAAUAUUGGAACGGUGAAUUAUCUACUGUACCGUGUAUCGAUAAGUAGAGUUCGCACGUUUGUUCAUUUAUGGAAAAUAUAAAACUGUAAAAACGUACGGAAUGCAUAUAACACGUAAGAAUAUAUAAAAUACCCAAAGUAAAGCAGCGAUCGUGGUAAUGUUUAAAUGGAAAGUAAAAUAUUAGAAAAAGGCUGUAUAUAAAUUUCACCUUUUUUAGCUACGUUCAUGGAAAUAUCAAAUCGCAUAAAAAUCUGCAGUCUAUCGAUUAGACCUGAUUUACACGUAUAGUGGAACCAACCGUUUGCUUAAAAAAAUAAAAAUUUGAUAUUUUCGCCAGAUACAUAUUGCCAUUUUUAUUCGAAUAAACAAACGAAUAUAACGAUCAAGUGUAAUUGCUAGUUUUGUCAUUUUCUUUGUACUGUAUAUACGACGCGUUUGUCGUACAGUACCGACUAUCCAACUGUCGUUCAGUACCAAACAAUCGGAUCAGCGCAAACGAAAUAUGUUUUUUCAUCUAAAGACAUCCGAAAUUUCAAAGCAGGAAAAAGGAAAAUGGUGACAGAGAUGCGGCCUUGAAGCUGCUUCUCGAAAAUAAAAUGGGCCAGAGACGAGCCGCUGACUCUACCGAUGUUACAAAAACGCGAAGGCCGAGCACACGUCCAAUGCACAGACCAAGAAGAUAUUAUUUAUUUUACUCUUGAUGUACGUGAAAGUUUAAUUUGAACAGAGAUGCGUCUUCUGACAUCCGAGUGAUUUUUUUUUAACUUUAUUAAUCAUUUAGACCGAAAAAUCUACCAAUGAAAUAAUUGGUCGGUCCUGAACGACAAUUUUUCCUACAAAUCGCAACAUUUCUAUCCUUGAAAAUGAUCAAUUGUUAUCGUUGAAUUUCAGGAAAUUAACUUCGCUCUCUGUAUCGAGUUCCAUUCGUCCAGAAACUCGUUCUUCGAAUUUUGAUUUCUGCCGACUCCGCUCCAAGAUACGAGGGAAAAGCUUACAGCCAUCGAUACCUCGCAACUCUGCCCUGUGUUAAAUUUCGUAUCAUUCGAUAAUACCUUCGUAUGGCUGUGAAAAUUUCGUACAAUGAAAACGGAGAAAAAGAAGGAAGGAAAGAAAUUGAAAAAAUCACGCAA
Molecule: long non-coding RNA, 2998 nt
Organism: Bombus huntii
Lineage: Eukaryota; Metazoa; Arthropoda; Insecta; Hymenoptera; Apidae
Exons: 3
Source: RefSeq, a predicted model, not a curated record